GACGUAGGAUGCAAGCGUUGUCCGGAAUUAUUGGGCGUAAAGAGUUCGUAGGCGGUUACUUAAGUCUGGUGUUAAAGACGGGAGCUCAACUCCCGCAUGGCAUCGGAAACUGGGUGGCUAGAGUACGGUAGAGGUCACGGGAAUUCCAGGUGUAGCGGUGAAAUGCGUAGAUAUCUGGAGGAACACCGGUGGCGAAAGCGCGUGACUGGGCCGUAACUGACGCUGAGGAACGAAAGCCAGGGGAGCAAAAGGG
RNAcentral lists this ribosomal RNA (253 nucleotides) under Cyanophyceae cyanobacterium. RNAcentral's name for it is "partial 16S ribosomal RNA". It matches the Rfam family "Bacterial small subunit ribosomal RNA", at positions 524 to 776 of the family's 1533-position model. Lineage: Bacteria; Bacillati; Cyanobacteriota; Cyanophyceae. RNAcentral also lists the same sequence under 1 other name. The record is from RNAcentral.